RNAcentral lists this ribosomal RNA (254 nucleotides) under uncultured bacterium. Its description in RNAcentral is "partial 16S ribosomal RNA". It matches the Rfam family "Bacterial small subunit ribosomal RNA", at positions 524 to 776 of the family's 1533-position model. The record is from RNAcentral.
UACAGAGGGUGCAAGCGUUAAUCGGAAUUACUGGGCGUAAAGCGAGCGUAGUCGGUUAUUUAAGUCGGGUGUGAAAGCCCCGGGCUCAACCUGGGAAUUGCAUUCGAUACUGGAUAGCUAGAGUUCGGCAGAGGGAAGCGGAAUUUCCGGUGUAGCGGUGAAAUGCGCAGAUAUCAGGAGGAACACCGGUGGCGAAGGCGGGUCUCUGGGCCGAUACUGACGCUGGAGGAGCGAAAGCGUGGGGAGCGAACAGG